RNAcentral lists this transfer RNA (57 nucleotides) under Felis catus (domestic cat). It matches the Rfam family "tRNA", at positions 8 to 63 of the family's 71-position model. Rfam says of the family: Transfer RNA (tRNA) molecules are approximately 80 nucleotides in length. Their secondary structure includes four short double-helical elements and three loops (D, anti-codon, and T loops). Further hydrogen bonds mediate the characteristic L-shaped molecular structure. tRNAs have two regions of fundamental functional importance: the anti-codon, which is responsible for specific mRNA codon recognition, and the 3' end, to which the tRNAs corresponding amino acid is attached (by aminoacyl-tRNA synthetases). tRNAs cope with the degeneracy of the genetic code in two manners: having more than one tRNA (with a specific anti-codon) for a particular amino acid; and 'wobble' base-pairing, i.e. permitting non-standard base-pairing at the 3rd anti-codon position. The record is from Rfam by way of RNAcentral. Lineage: Eukaryota; Metazoa; Chordata; Mammalia; Carnivora; Felidae. RNAcentral also lists the same sequence under 4 other names.
UGGCUCAGUCAGUAGAGCAUGAGAUUCUUGAUCUCAGGGCCAUGAGUUCAAGCCCAU